AAGGAGUGGUUCUUCUGAGGAAAACCAGCUGAAGUAUUACAGAAAGAGGAAAUGCUGCAGAGACCCAGCCGGAAACAGUGCUGGCCAGCUCACGCCUGACCCACCCUUAUUCUAAGCAUAGGGUCUGCCUCUGAAGAGCUAAAGACUUCCUGAAAUUUAAAAAUUAGUGCUUUUAUUUGCUUGUCCUGCUAAGACCGUAGGCAAAGGCCAUCCUCCUCCCAUUGACAGUUUAGAGUGGGCAGAAACAACCACGGUUACCCUAGAAGUAAAUCCAGAGCUGCGGGACGCUGGAGGACAAAACCAACCUUCCAGGGAAGCCGAGGAGAAGUCAUGCCUUCAAAAGGGGCUGGGAAGUUCAAGAUCCAGGCCUCAGAAGAUUUGGGGUUUGGUGAGGGCCAUCUUCUCACUGUAGCCUUACAUGGUGGAAGAGGUAAGGCAGCUCUCUGGAACCUCUUUUAUAAGGGCACUAAUCCCUUUCAUGAGAACUCAGCCCUUAUGAACUCAUCGCCUCCUAAAUUCUCUACCUCCUAACACCAUCACUUUGACAAUCAGAUUUCAACAUAUGAAUUUGUGGGAGUCACCAGCAUUGAGACUAUAGCAACCCCUUAUUAGAAAUAAUUCAUGAGGAACUGAAACUGUUAGGAAACCACUGUGUAAAUGCUGGGAAACAAAGUCAGAUAAAUAAUGCUGAUAAUUACCUGACUGCUUUUGGAACUGUCCUUUUUUGUGAACAUGAGACUACAUCAUUGUCAGUUGAUUGCAGAAGAACCACUAUGAUAUUAUAAUGGGGUCCUGACUCCAUGACUGUGUAAUUCAUGGCUUUCUAACGGUUUAUUAUUGACCUAACUUUGCAGCUCCCCUAGAUCCCCUAACUCCACCAUCUUGGGUUGCAACCAAUGACCUGUUAUUGCAAAACAGGUAAUCUCACUUAGAUAAGUAUUAAUCAGAGGGGCUUGACUUCCAGAGUUCAUUUCAAUGGUUUUCAACUCAUUUGUAGAGUUUAACAUCAGUAGCCCUUUCUCUUCCAUAGGAGGGAGAUGAACCAUCCUGUUUGUUCAAUAAUCAGUGAGAGCGUGGCUUUAACGUCUCUUCCACUCCUUUCUAGUUCAGGUCUUUCUUAACUUGAUGGAGAUAGCUUGGGCCAGGGAGGGCAGAGUGAAGAUGAGAUGGCAAAAAAAAAAAAGUUUUGAUCAGCAGCAUUGACUCUGUGCUAAAUACUGUGCUCAGCUCUUUGGAUGUUAUUUCAUUGAAAUGGAAAGAACACUGUAAAGUUGUCUUGUGAGGCACACUUUCCUGUUGAGGAAAUAAAAGCAUUAAAUAACUUGCCCCCAAAUACAAAGCUAUUAGGAUUGAAACAAAGACUUGAGCCCGGGAUCUAUCUAAUUUCAAGGUCCUUGUUUUUUUUCUACUACAUUUCUCUUUGAGAUACAGUUACUCAAAGGUGUCCAAACUUCAGUUAAUGUCAACCUCUGCCUCACUCUGGUCCUGGUGCCUUUCCCAUGUUCCUGAGAAGAUCAUGUGGCACACUUCUCUAAACGUCUCUGUGCCAUAUCUCUUGGGAUCAAAAGGCCAUUCCAAUAAUUCUUCUGCAUUUCUUAAUGUAUGCUCAGAUGGCCCUGGUUUGCAUUUAGAGAAAGGAAGCUAAGACCUUGGUGAUAACUAAAUAUUUAUAUCUAUUUUUUGAUUAUGUGCUUGUAUUUAAUUAAGUGGGUGCCUACUGUUGUGAAAAUACUUUUGAAUACAAUUCUGAAGUUGUGCCAGGGAACUCUGACAAUGGGUAUGCUGGGAGCUGUCUGAUUUCCUUGUCCUAGACAACUCAUACAAUGCAGUAGAAAAAGAAUUCUUUAUUCCCACUGCCUUUCCUUAGCCCUUCUUCAGAGCAGGGGAAGUGUGACUGUAGCUUUAAAUAGUUUAAAUAGUCCUUCAAAUACGGCAAAUAAAACAGUAUCAAUGAAAAAGAAGAUAAAAUGAGUGGAUUACUCAUAUGAGUUUCAGUUUUAUCAUUCAGUUUCACAGAACUCCAAAGAAUAAUGUGAUUAAGUGGUUUCUUUUUGCAAGGAUUUUCCAGGUGAAAGAUCUGAGCUAUAUAUUGAGGAACCAUAGGAUUAAAAUAGACAUGGGUUUGCUUCUAUGACAGCAUUUUGCAAAAUAACAUGACCAGGUACUAUUGCUCAUGCCUGUCACCCCAGCACCGUGGUCAAGGCAAGUAGAUCACUUGAGGCCAGGAAUUCAAGACCAGCCUGGCUAACAUGGCAAAACCUCAUCUCUAUUAAAAAUACAAAACUUAGCCAGAUCUGGUGGCACAUGCCUGUAAUCCCAGCUACUCAGGAGGCUGAGGCAUGAGAAUCACUUGAGCCUGGCAGGCAGAGGUUGCAGUGAGCCGAGAUUGUGCCACUGUGCUCCAGCCUGGGUGAUAGAGUGAGACCCUGUCUCAAAACAAACAAACAAAGCAAACAAAAACACACACACAAAAAAACCCACCUCUGAUGUGACCCAUGGAUAGAAAACAACAAAUUAAGUUUUAAUGAGACUAUAUAUGCUUGUACUUUAAAAUGGGGCUAAUUCAUAGAUAUAGAAAACUAUACUUAUGACAGUUCAUAUAAAUGAGCCACUGGACUGUCCAAAUUUACCUCUUUUUAUUGUAUGGAC
Molecule: long non-coding RNA, 2649 nt
Filed under: Homo sapiens (human)
Lineage: Eukaryota; Metazoa; Chordata; Mammalia; Primates; Hominidae
Description: HSALNT0150158
Source: RNAcentral